GUUGCAACUUAUACUAAUCCCUAUCAGGGAUUGAAAC
Scytonema hofmannii PCC 7110 is the source of this 37-nucleotide non-coding RNA. Lineage: Bacteria; Bacillati; Cyanobacteriota; Cyanophyceae; Nostocales; Scytonemataceae. The record is from Rfam.